This 570-nucleotide small RNA is filed under the name Pongo abelii (Sumatran orangutan). RNAcentral describes it as "processed transcript". Lineage: Eukaryota; Metazoa; Chordata; Mammalia; Primates; Hominidae. The record is from RNAcentral.
AUCACACAGUCCCUGGCUUAACUGACUUCCACCUAUUAAAUGACCCGAGAUACUUCCAAACUGGGGGACCAAAAGAGGAUGUAGAGAAAUAUUAAAAGAAAACCAAAAAGAGCAAGGCUAGCCUGUCACAGAUAUUGAUUGUUCCAGUGUGACCAGCCUGGAAACAGGAGGAAAGCUAUUUGCAAGCAUGAAAUACCUGGAGGCAACUGCGAUGUCUGUGGACUGUCUUGGGCAGCAUGCGGUGCUUUCUGGCCGCAGAUUCUUGUACAUCGUCAAUCUAGAUGCCCCUUUUGAAGGUCACCGAAAGAUCUCUCGCCAGAGCAAAUGGGACAUUGGAGCUGUGCAGUGGAAUCCUCAUGACAGCUUUGCACACUAUUUUGCAGCUUCGAGUAACCAACGAGUAGACCUUUACAAGUGGAAAGACGGCAGUGGGGAAGUUGGCACAACCUUACAAGGCCACACUCGUGUCAUCAGGAACUUUGGAGAUUCUCAGCCUAAACCACAUUAAGAAGCCCAUUAACAAUGACAUUCUGAAGCCACUGGAGACUCGAUGUGCUAGUGCUUUGGACC